GAGAGGAUACCUCUCGUAUAACCCAUUCCGUGUACGAACGAACCCUGUUGCUUCGGCAGGCCGUGGCUUCCUGUGCUUGCCUGCCUGUGCCUGCCAGAGGACGCAAACUCUGAUGUUAGUGAUGUCUGAGUACUAUAUAAUAAGUUA
Molecule: unclassified non-coding RNA, 147 nt
Filed under: soil metagenome
Description: partial internal transcribed spacer 1
Source: RNAcentral